AGUGAACGCUGGCGGUAGGCCUAACACAUGCAGGUCGAACGGCAGCACAGAGGAGCUUGCUCCUUGGGUGGCGAGUGGCGGACGGGUGAGGAAUACAUCGGAAUCUACUCUGUCGUGGGGGAUAACGUAGGGAAACUUACGCUAAUACCGCAUACGACCUACGGGUGAAAGCAGGGGAUCUUCGGACCUUGCGCGAUUGAAUGAGCCGAUGUCGGAUUAGCUAGUUGGCGGGGUAAAGGCCCACCAAGGCGACGAGCCGUAGCUGGUCUGAGAGGAUGAUCAGCCACACUGGAACUGAGACACGGUCCAGACUCCUACGGGAGGCAGCAGUGGGGAAUAUUGGACAAUGGGCGCAAGCCUGAUCCAGCCAUACCGCGUGGGUGAAGAAGGCCUUCGGGUUGUAAAGCCCUUUUGUUGGGAAAGAAAUCCAUCUGGUUAAUACCCGGGUGGGAUGACGGUACCCAAAGAAUAAGCACCGGCUAACUUCGUGCCAGCCGCCGCGGUAA
This 506-nucleotide ribosomal RNA is filed under the name uncultured bacterium. RNAcentral's name for it is "partial 16S ribosomal RNA". It matches the Rfam family "Bacterial small subunit ribosomal RNA", at positions 29 to 523 of the family's 1533-position model. The record is from RNAcentral.